GGAGAGGUGGCCGAGUGGUUUAAGGCAACGGUCUUGAAAACCGUCGUACAGCAAUGUACCGUGAGUUCGAAUCUCACCCUCUCCGCCA
RNAcentral lists this transfer RNA (88 nucleotides) under Minisyncoccota bacterium. Its description in RNAcentral is "tRNA-Ser". It matches the Rfam family "tRNA". From Rfam's summary of the family: Transfer RNA (tRNA) molecules are approximately 80 nucleotides in length. The record is from RNAcentral. Lineage: Bacteria; Bacillati; Minisyncoccota.